GGGUCUGAGGUCUGAGCAGCAAUCGAGUGAUCAAGGCGUGUGAGAAACCAUGAGCCUCAGGUUCCCAGGAGAGAGGAAGGAGAGAGAGCAAAACAUCAAACCCACAGCCUAGCGGUGUAUUGCUCUCUAAACCGGAUCCCGGGACCUAACUUUGCAGGACAGAGACCACGUGUUUGCUAACGACGAUCACAACGUGUCUUCUCCAAGAGGAAUCUGCCUCCCGCUUUAAGACAACAUGCACUUUUUUCUCACGUCUGUAUUGGUCCUUCGCUCCACAGUCCCCGAGUUUCUCAAGAUAACCUGAAAGGGAUGAGACAGCCAAACUGGCCUGCCGUCUUCUACCGGUUUCGCGAGUCCCCGGGGCGUUGCUCUGCUCGCAGACCACUGGUAAAGCGUCUGAAACCACCGGUGCCCUCCCAACCCUGUUCCCUUCCGUGUCCCUGCUGUGUCUUUCUUUCGGUCCGUUUACUCGUGCAGUCUCCCAAAGCCGGCACGCCGUGCCGACAUCGGAGCAGCACAAGUUUAGUACACGCACCUGCCUAACUUUGGGUGGGGAGGGAUUGUUUUGGAGCCAAAUGGCAAAGAGCAGGCCGUGGAUGAAAGCGUCCGUCACCAACCCAGCAUUCUUCCCCUGGUGAGCUCUGCAGGUGGACCCUCGAUGCAUUCAGCCGCCAGCAGAAAUCCUUUGACUUGGGGGAGGGAAGUCCCCCUGCUCUGAUCACCAGGAAUGAAUUGUGAUCCACCUGGACCACACAGAGCCCUCUCCUUCUCCCGAGGCUGGCUACGUGAGCCCGUGAGAUGUGACGGAAGUUUGCUGGAUGUCGCUCCCGGGAAAGCUUUUGCUUUCUUGGGGAGAAAGAAGCAGACGCCACCGGCAGGCCCUCGUCCGUCUCUUUGCCAUUUCGGCUUCCCUGGAAUAUGACAUUGCGCCCAUUUUUCUCUUCAGAUUUUCACGGUUCCCUUAAAAUCCUCUCACCUACUUAUAACAGUGGCUGUGUCUUGUCUGUUGAUCUCUGUCAUUUCUACGCUUGCUGUUGACACUUUUUUUCUCCUGGGUAUGAGUCACAUUUCCUGUUUCUUUGGCAUGUCUGGUGAUGUUUUACUGGAGCCUGAACAUCGCCACCGUGGUCGAAUGUUUAGAUUGUGGCGGCAGGCAGCUCAUUUGCUCGCAGACCGGCCUGAGCGUUGUGAAGUUCAUGGGCAAGCUUCGUCAGGGGAGGGAGGUCCAGAGUUCCCUUCAGGGCCGGGGUGCCCUUUCAUAAGGAUUGAACCUCGUGAGGUCCCCAUGUAAUGUCCCAGCUGCUCCCCCAAGGCUUUCUUCUCCGGCCAGCCUUACAGCCAGU
This is a long non-coding RNA of Phyllostomus hastatus (greater spear-nosed bat), 1343 nucleotides long. RefSeq lists it as uncharacterized. The transcript has 3 exons. The record is from RefSeq and is a predicted model, not a curated record. Lineage: Eukaryota; Metazoa; Chordata; Mammalia; Chiroptera; Phyllostomidae.